RNAcentral lists this ribosomal RNA (180 nucleotides) under uncultured bacterium. RNAcentral describes it as "partial 16S ribosomal RNA". It matches the Rfam family "Bacterial small subunit ribosomal RNA", at positions 338 to 509 of the family's 1533-position model. The record is from RNAcentral.
CCUACGGGAGGCAGCAGUAGGGAAUUUUCGGCAAUGGGGGAAACCCUGACCGAGCAACGCCGCGUGAGCGAAGAAGGCCUUCGGGUCGUAAAGCUCUGUUGUAAAGGAAGAACGGCGCAUACAGGAAAUGGUAUGCGAGUGACGGUACUUUACCAGAAAGACCACGGCUAACUACGUGAC